CAACUGCUCCUGUGAUCUCUGACCUCCUUAGUACAUUCCACAAGGAUCUAUUUUUUUAAUUUAUUUUUUAGGAAGCUCGUUGGAGCUGGGAGUUGAACAGAAGCUGUCACUGUAGCAUGUGUUGUUCCUGACAACUCUGUUUCUUUGGCACAUGUUUUAGGUUGUAGGAAAUCAGAAUUAGCUGUGUCUUUUAUUGCAACUCCUGUCUCUGCAAAGACCCCUAAAAAUCCUGCUUUUAUUUUGUUUAUUUUUUUAUUUACCUCCACUAUUGUCUGAAGGCAAGAUCAAGGCUACAUCUGGAAUCUGGUUGGAAUGAACUGCAGAAUGUUUUUGCCAUGAAGCCAAGGGAUGUGCUUUGGGAUGUGAUUUUCCAUGGUUUUUUUUCCUUCUAUGGUGCUCUGCAGAUCUCCUCUUUAAAAGACUUUCAGAC
Pelobates cultripes (western spadefoot toad) is the source of this 430-nucleotide non-coding RNA. NCBI's taxonomy places the organism in Eukaryota, Metazoa, Chordata, Amphibia, Anura, Pelobatidae. The record is from the annotation of a GenBank genome assembly.